AUGGCGUCCCGCAUCGCCUCCCGCCUCCUCCGACGCUCCAGCCCCACAUUAGGCCUCCUGAGGAGCUAUACACAUGUCAGAAACUACAGCAGUCAACUUUCAGGUCUUAUUCCAGCUGGUCCCCAAAGCUCAAAGCUGACAAGAAGGAACUAUUACUUCCCAAAUGCCUCUCCUUACCAACUCUGGAGUAGGUCAUUUGCAUCAGACAGUGGAGACAAGUUUGAAGCUGUUGUGCCUUUCAUGGGUGAAUCUGUAACUGAUGGAACUCUUGCUAACUUCUUAAAGAAACCUGGCGAUAGAGUUGAGGCGGAUGAGGCCAUAGCCCAGAUUGAAACUGAUAAGGUGACAAUAGAUGUUUCUAGUCCUGAAGCUGGUGUUAUUGAAAAGUUUAUUGCUAGUGAAGGUGAUACGGUUACUCCAGGCACCAUAGUUGCUAUCGUAUCAAAGUCUGCAGCACCCGCUGAAACACAUGUUGCCCCAUCUGAGGAGGCGCCCCAAAAAGAAUCACCUCCAGCAAAAGCUGAAGAGAAAUCACCAAAAGCAGAAGAGAAACCAACAAAAGUAGAACCUCCCAAGAAGCAGGCACCAAAGCCAACUCCUUCGAAAACCUCCCCUACAGAACCACAGCUCCCUCCAAAAGAGCGAGAGCGACGGGUGCCAAUGCCCAGGCUGACCACAUUCAAUGAAGUUGACAUGACCAAUUUGAUGAAGCUGCGGUCGGACUACAAGGAUGAAUUUGUCAAGAAGCAUGGUGUCAAACUGGGUCUGAUGUCUUGCUUUGUCAAGGCUGCUGUUUCUGGGCUGCAGAACCAGCCAAUUGUCAAUGCUGUCAUUGACGGUGAUGACAUCAUAUACAGAGACUAUGUCGACGUUAGUGUUGCUGUUGGCACUUCCAAGGGUCUUGUGGUGCCGGUUAUCCGAGAUGCUGAUACAAUGAACUUUGCUGACAUCGAGAAAGGGAUAAACAACCUUGCAAAGAAGGCUACUGAGGGGGCGCUGUCAAUUGACGAGAUGGCGGGAGGAACAUUCACCAUCUCCAACGGUGGUGUCUACGGAAGCCUUAUCAGCACGCCCAUCAUCAACCCCCCACAGUCAGCGAUUCUUGGGAUGCACUCCAUCGUGCAGCGCCCCGUGGUCGUGGACGGCAGCAUCCUCGCCAGGCCCAUGAUGUACCUCGCGCUGACAUACGACCACAGGCUGAUCGACGGCAGAGAGGCCGUCUACUUCCUGCGCCGCAUCAAGGACGUCGUCGAGGACCCCCGGAGGCUGCUCCUCGACAUAUAA
RNAcentral lists this ribosomal RNA (1284 nucleotides) under Triticum aestivum (bread wheat). RNAcentral's name for it is "partial small subunit ribosomal RNA". Lineage: Eukaryota; Viridiplantae; Streptophyta; Magnoliopsida; Poales; Poaceae. The record is from RNAcentral.